RNAcentral lists this unclassified non-coding RNA (21 nucleotides) under Mus musculus (house mouse). RNAcentral's name for it is "oocyte_clustered_small_RNA60". Lineage: Eukaryota; Metazoa; Chordata; Mammalia; Rodentia; Muridae. The record is from RNAcentral.
UGAAGCGUGGGGAGGACUGCA